GCCUGUUUGGCUCAGUGGAUAGAGCGUCAGUCUGUGGACUGAAGGGUCCUGGGUUUGAUUCCCGCCAAAGGCA
Myotis lucifugus (little brown bat) is the source of this 73-nucleotide non-coding RNA. NCBI's taxonomy places the organism in Eukaryota, Metazoa, Chordata, Mammalia, Chiroptera, Vespertilionidae. The record is from Rfam.